UAGAUGCAUGGGCGAAGCCUGAUGCAGCGACGCCGCGUGAGGGAUGACGGCCUUCGGGUUGUAAACCUCUUUCAGUAGGGAAGAAGCGAAAGUGACGGUACCUGCAGAAGAAGCGCCGGCUAACUACGUGCCAGCAGCCGCGGUAAUACGUAGGGCGCAAGCGUUAUCCGGAAUUAUUGGGCGUAAAGAGCUCGUAGGCGGUUUGUCGCGUCUGCCGUGAAAGUCCGGGGCUCAACUCCGGAUCUGCGGUGGGUACGGGCAGACUUGAGUGCAGUAGGGGAGACUGGAAUUCCUGGUGUAGCGGUGAAAUGCGCAGAUAUCAGGAGGAACACCGAUGGCGAAGGCAGGUCUCUGGGCUGUAACUGACGCUGAGGAGCGAAAGCAUGGGGAGCGAACAGGAUUAGAUACCCUGGUAGUCCAUGCCGUAAACGUUGGGCACUAGGUGUGGGGGACAUUCCACGUUUUCCGCGCCGUAGCUAACGCAUUAAGUGCCCCGCCUGGGGAGUACGGCCGCAAGGCUAAAACUCAAAUGAAAUUGACGGA
Molecule: ribosomal RNA, 543 nt
Filed under: Arthrobacter ginkgonis
Lineage: Bacteria; Bacillati; Actinomycetota; Actinomycetes; Micrococcales; Micrococcaceae
Description: bacterial SSU rRNA
Rfam family: Bacterial small subunit ribosomal RNA
Source: RNAcentral